CAUAACUGAAGCAUUUCCAUAGAGAGCCACUUUGCAUCAGCAGCACCAUGCUCCAGUGCUCUGGGAGAGUUUAUAGUCCUGAGAGUUGAACACUGGAUGACUGACAGCUGUCCUUCAUGACAACAGAAGACACAGAAAUCCUCCUCAUCAAAAACAUGACUUUGAUCUGCGUCCUCGUCUGGACUCUCCUCUGCUGCUGCUUCACAGAGUCCAGAGGUCAGAUCACAGUGACUCAGCCUGGAGCAGUGAGCUCUGCUCUGGGAGGCUCCGUCACCAUCAGCUGCAGGACCAGUCAGGAUGUUUUUAAUAAUGAUUAUUUAGCCUGGUACCAACAGAGAGAUGGAGAAAGUCCUAAACUUCUCAUUUACUAUGCUAGCACUCGAGAAUCAGGGAUUCCAGAUCGUUUUACAGGCAGUGGAUCAAACUCUGCCUUCACUCUGACCAUCAGUGGAGUUCAGGCUGAAGAUGCAGCAGUUUACUACUGUCAGAGUCUUCAUUAUCCCAACAGUCAGUGGGUGUUCACACAGUGAAAAACCGUCGUACAAAAACCUCCCUCAGUCAGACUGAACAGAAACUGAACUGACUGCUGCAGCUGGAAGCUACUGCAGAGACUGAUACACUUCACUGAGGACACACACACACACACACACACACACACACACACACACACACACACACACACACACCAGUUGUUCCCUGAAAGACCCAUAAUUUGCAGUAUCUUUCUUGAAUUGAAAAUUUAAACCAUCAGACAUUUAGGCUGUAUGCAGAUGACAUUCUGCUAUAUGUUACGCGACCCUCCUCCUCCCUUUUUCAGUUUUCGCUUAGAUGGUUAUUGACAUUUUCUUGGAACCAUCACUUCCUUUUUAAAUGACCAAGAAAUUAAGAAAUAUGAGAUGUUUUCUAAAGCAAAUCUGGGGGGCAACUCACGAAGGACCAGGUGUUAUAGUGUACUUUGGCUGACCUCCUAUGGGGGAGAAUUCAAUAUCAAAUAUGCAAAUGGAUAAAAACUGCCUCAUUUAUAUUUAUCAUAUUCACCAAUAACAAAAGAAAGUCUUAGACGCACAGGUUUGUUGAUAAAAUGUAAGUUUAUUUUAAAAUUAGCAACAGGAAAGAAAUGACUGAUAGAUGUUUGAUAUUGUGGAAAAGUCAAACUAAGACAAAUGUCUUUGCACAUACGUCUCUGUGUCUCCACCUGACCUACAUCAUGUCAUUCUACCUUUCUCUUUCUUCCAGUUUGGGUACUCACUCUCUGAAAUAUCCACCUCCAGCAGCACCUCAUCAGAGUUUUUUUCUCCCACAUGGUUCCUUGCCUGAAAAAUGUAAAGUGUAAAGUGUUGGACUGCUUCAGAGAGGGUAAAGACAGAACCUGCCCUGAGGCCACCUUGAGUAGGGAGAUGGAGGCAGUCCUCCUGUACCAGGUGUAUCUGCCUGCAGCUGGGUUGGCA
This is a non-coding RNA of Acanthopagrus latus (yellowfin seabream), 1448 nucleotides long. The record is from the annotation of a RefSeq genome assembly. Lineage: Eukaryota; Metazoa; Chordata; Actinopteri; Spariformes; Sparidae.